RNAcentral lists this ribosomal RNA (694 nucleotides) under uncultured bacterium. Its description in RNAcentral is "bacterial SSU rRNA". It matches the Rfam family "Bacterial small subunit ribosomal RNA", at positions 87 to 807 of the family's 1533-position model. The record is from RNAcentral.
AUUCUCUAGUGGCGCACGGGUGAGUAACACGUGAGUAACCUGCCCCCAAGAGUGGGAUAGCCCCGGGAAACUGGGAUUAAUACCGCAUAAAAUCGCAAGAUUAAAGCAGCAAUGCGCUUGGGGAUGGGCUCGCGUCCUAUUAGUUAGUUGGUGAGGUAACGGCUCACCAAGGCGAUGACGGGUAGCCGGUCUGAGAGGAUGUCCGGCCACACUGGAACUGAGACACGGUCCAGACACCUACGGGUGGCAGCAGUCGAGAAUCAUUCACAAUGGGGGAAACCCUGAUGGUGCGACGCCGCGUGGGGGAAUGAAGGUCUUCGGAUUGUAAACCCCUGUCAUGUGGGAGCAAAUUAAAAAGAUAGUACCACAAGAGGAAGAGACGGCUAACUCUGUGCCAGCAGCCGCGGUAAUACAGAGGUCUCAAGCGUUGUUCGGAAUCACUGGGCGUAAAGCGUGCGUAGGCGGUUUCGUAAGUCGUGUGUGAAAGGCGGGGGCUCAACCCCCGGACUGCACAUGAUACUGCGAGACUAGAGUAAUGGAGGGGGAACCGGAAUUCUCGGUGUAGCAGUGAAAUGCGUAGAUAUCGAGAGGAACACUCGUGGCGAAGGCGGGUUCCUGGACAUUAACUGACGCUGAGGCACGAAGGCCAGGGGAGCGAAAGGGAUUAGAUACCCCUGUAGUCCUGGCAGUAAAC